RNAcentral lists this ribosomal RNA (253 nucleotides) under uncultured bacterium. RNAcentral describes it as "partial 16S ribosomal RNA". It matches the Rfam family "Bacterial small subunit ribosomal RNA", at positions 524 to 776 of the family's 1533-position model. The record is from RNAcentral.
UACAGAGGUCUCAAGCGUUGUUCGGAUUCAUUGGGCGUAAGGGGUGCGUAGGUGGCGCCGUAAGUCAGGUGUGAAAUCUCGGGGCUCAACCCCGAAACUGCACUUGAUACUGCGGUGCUCGAGUACUGGAGAGGAGAUUGGAAUUUACGGUGUAGCAGUGAAAUGCGUAGAUAUCGUAAGGAAGACCAGUGGCGAAGGCGAAUCUCUGGACAGUUACUGACACUGAGGCUCGAAGGCCAGGGGAGCAAACGGG